Molecule: signal recognition particle RNA, 310 nt
Filed under: Methanobacteriota archaeon
Lineage: Archaea; Methanobacteriati; Methanobacteriota
Description: Euryarchaeota archaeon (anaerobic digester metagenome) signal recognition particle sRNA
Rfam family: Archaeal signal recognition particle RNA
Source: RNAcentral
GGCUAGGCUCGACCGGGGCGUUCGGCGCGUCCUUGUACACCGCCACGUCGAUAGCGGGGGUGACAGGGGAGGACGUCGUAACCGGAGCGGUGCGGGCCCUGACGGCGACGAUGAGACCCUGUCCUGUGGGGUUGGAAGCGACUUGGAGGUGCGAUCGGAGGGUCGCAUGCCUUGCCCUAGUCACGGAGAGCGGGCCAGGCCCUGACGGGAGCAGCCUUACCGUGGAUUACCAACGCUCAGAGGGUCGCGGGGCUGAGAAGCUUGCAGGAUCACCCAAUCUAAUUCGGGCGGCUACCUUUCCGGCCUAGCA